This 232-nucleotide ribosomal RNA is filed under the name uncultured bacterium. Its description in RNAcentral is "partial 16S ribosomal RNA". It matches the Rfam family "Bacterial small subunit ribosomal RNA", at positions 15 to 238 of the family's 1533-position model. The record is from RNAcentral.
GAUCAUGGCUCAGGACGAACGCUGGCGGCGUGCCUAAUACAUGCAAGUAGAACGCUGAAGGAGGAGCUUGCUUCUCCGGAUGAGUUGCGAACGGGUGAGUAACGCGUAGGUAACCUGCCUGGUAGCGGGGGAUAACUAUUGGAAACGAUAGCUAAUACCGCAUAAGAGUAGAUGUUGCAUGACAUUUACUUAAAAGGUAGCAAUUGCAUCACUACCAGAUGGACCUGCGUUG